GGUAUGUUAAGCUCUAUCAGCAGGGAAGAUAAUGACGGUACCUGACUAAGAAGCACCGGCUAAAUACGUGCCAGCAGCCGCGGUAAUACGUAUGGUGCAAGCGUUAUCCGGAUUUACUGGGUGUAAAGGGAGCGCAGGCGGUGCGGUAAGUCUGAUGUGAAAGCCCGGGGCUCAACCCCGGUACUGCAUUGGAAACUGUCGUACUAGAGUGUCGGAGGGGUAAGCGGAAUUCCUAGUGUAGCGGUGAAAUGCGUAGAUAUUAGGAGGAACACCAGUGGCGAAGGCGGCUUACUGGACGAUAACUGACGCUGAGGCUCGAAAGCGUGGGGAGCAAACAGGAUUAGUCACCCUGGUAGUCCACGCCGUAAA
This 369-nucleotide ribosomal RNA is filed under the name uncultured bacterium. RNAcentral describes it as "bacterial SSU rRNA". It matches the Rfam family "Bacterial small subunit ribosomal RNA", at positions 420 to 806 of the family's 1533-position model. The record is from RNAcentral.